RNAcentral lists this long non-coding RNA (295 nucleotides) under Prunus persica (peach). RNAcentral's name for it is "long non-coding RNA (PPER_LNC006067)". The record is from RNAcentral. Lineage: Eukaryota; Viridiplantae; Streptophyta; Magnoliopsida; Rosales; Rosaceae.
UAGUGUUGAACGGAAAAUUUUCACAAAAGCAAUUAGCUAAGAGUUUGACUUGGGUUAGAAUUGAAUUUGUUUUGUCCCUGCAAUCUUAUCAAGAAAAAUAUUUAAAAAUAAAAUAGAUGUAUUUCAGUGGUUUUGAAACACCAAGAGAUAAGUAUCUCGGUUGAGAAGUGGUCAUCAGCUUGAAUUCAAACUCAUCAUAAGAUAGCCUCUAUAAGAGGCAUGACACAAGUUUGACAAAAAAAAGGAAGAGAACAGAGGAGGACAAAAAAAAAACGCAGAGAGAGGAGAAUAGCUG